Molecule: ribosomal RNA, 500 nt
Filed under: uncultured bacterium
Lineage: Bacteria
Description: partial 16S ribosomal RNA
Rfam family: Bacterial small subunit ribosomal RNA
Source: RNAcentral
GAUGAACGCUGGCGGCAUGCCUUACACAUGCAAGUCGAACGGCAGCACGGGCUUCGGUCUGGUGGCGAGUGGCGAACGGGUGAGUAAAGUAUCGGAACGUACCAUUGAGUGGGGGAUAACGUAGCGAAAGUUACGCUAAUACCGCAUAUACCCCGAGGGGGAAAGCAGGGGAUCGCAAGACCUUGUGCUCUUUGAGCGGCCGAUAUCAGAUUAGCUAGUUGGUGAGGUAAAGGCUCACCAAGGCGACGAUCUGUAGCGGGUCUGAGAGGAUGAUCCGCCACACUGGGACUGAGACACGGCCCAGACUCCUACGGGAGGCAGCAGUGGGGAAUUUUGGACAAUGGGGGCAACCCUGAUCCAGCCAUGCCGCGUGAGUGAAGAAGGCCUUCGGGUUGUAAAGCUCUUUCGGCCGGGAAGAAAUCGCGCAGGCUAAUAUCCUGUGUGGAUGACGGUACCGGAAUAAGAAGCACCGGCUAACUACGUGCCAGCAGCCGCCGCCG